GUGGUUGUAGCUCAGUGGUAGAGCACUUGCCUAGAAUGUGUGAGGCACUGAAUUAGAUUCUCAGCACCUCAUAUAAAUAAAUAGAUAGAUAGAUAGAUAGAUAGAUAAAUAAAGGUCCAUUGACAACUAAAAAAUGUUUUAAAAAUAAAAAUAAAAAGAUUCUUAGCACACGUGAGGCGCUGGGUUCUAUCCUCAGCACCACG
This 203-nucleotide transfer RNA is filed under the name Marmota monax (woodchuck). Its description in RNAcentral is "tRNA.Ser". The stretch from base 1 to 71 matches the Rfam family "tRNA". Lineage: Eukaryota; Metazoa; Chordata; Mammalia; Rodentia; Sciuridae. The record is from RNAcentral.